AUUGAACGCUGGCGGCAUGCCUUACACAUGCAAGUCGAACGGUAACGGGUCCUUCGGGAUGCCGACGAGUGGCGAACGGGUGAGUAAUAUAUCGGAACGUGCCCAGUAGUGGGGGAUAACUGCUCGAAAGAGCAGCUAAUACCGCAUACGACCUGAGGGUGAAAGGGGGGGAUCGCAGGACCUCUCGCCAUUUGAGCGGCAGAUAUCAGAUUAGCUAGUUGGGGGGGUAAAGGCCUACCAAGGCAACGAUCUGUAGUUGGUCUGAGAGGACGACCAGCCACACUGGGACUGAGACACGGCCCAGACUCCUACGGGAGGCAGCAGUGGGGAAUUUUGGACAAUGGGCGCAAGCCUGAUCCAGCAAUGCCGCGUGCAGGAAGAAGGCCUUCGGGUUGUAAACUGCUUUUGUCAGGGAAGAAAUCUUCUGGGCUAAUACCCCGGGAGGAUGACGGUACCUGAAGAAUAAGCACCGGCUAACUACGUGCCAGCCGCCGCGGUAA
RNAcentral lists this ribosomal RNA (500 nucleotides) under uncultured bacterium. RNAcentral describes it as "partial 16S ribosomal RNA". It matches the Rfam family "Bacterial small subunit ribosomal RNA", at positions 30 to 523 of the family's 1533-position model. The record is from RNAcentral.